CCUACGGGGGGCAGCAGUGAGGAAUAUUGGUCAAUGGACGAGAGUCUGAACCAGCCAAGUAGCGUGAAGGAUGACUGCCCUAUGGGUUGUAAACUUCUUUUAUAUGGGAAUAAAAUGUUCCACGUGUGGGAUUUUGUAUGUAUCAUAUGAUUAAGGCUCGGCUAACUCCGUGCCAGCAGCCGCGGUAAUACGGAGGUACCGAGCGUUAUCCGGAUUUAUUGGGUUUAAAGGGAGCGUAGGUGGAUUGUUAAGUCAGUUGUGAAAGUUUGCGGCUCAACCGUAAAAGUGCAGUUGAAACUGGCAGUCUAGAGUACAGGAGAGGUAGGCGGAAUUCGUGGUGUAGCGGUGAAAUGCUUAGAUAUCAGGAAGAACACCGAUUGCGAAGGCAGCUCACUGGACGGCAACUGACGCUGAGGCUCGAAAGUGUGGGGAUCAAACAGGAUUAGAUACCCUUGUAGUC
This 460-nucleotide ribosomal RNA is filed under the name uncultured bacterium. Its description in RNAcentral is "partial 16S ribosomal RNA". It matches the Rfam family "Bacterial small subunit ribosomal RNA", at positions 338 to 795 of the family's 1533-position model. The record is from RNAcentral.